This is a long non-coding RNA of Oncorhynchus keta (chum salmon), 892 nucleotides long. RefSeq lists it as uncharacterized. The transcript has 3 exons. The record is from RefSeq and is a predicted model, not a curated record. NCBI's taxonomy places the organism in Eukaryota, Metazoa, Chordata, Actinopteri, Salmoniformes, Salmonidae.
CGUCCUUAGUGUCCUUGUUCCUGUCUGUGUUAGUUUUCACUAGUAUAGGCUGUUUCGGUUUUCGUUACAUUCUUUGUUUUGUAGUGUUUGUAUUUUAGAUUCGUGUUACUUUUUUGUUCAUUAAACAUGCAUCGCAAUCUACACGUUGCGUUUUGGUUGGACUCUCCUUCACCACACCUAGAAAACCGUUACACUUGGUAUCAAAGGAAGUCAUCUGUUCAUGCUCUCUUCCCAGUGUAGCCUGGUGUCACUACGGGAACAUAGACAAGAGAGAGAGAAAGAGAGAGAAUAAGAGGGAGAGAGAGAGACCUCGGCCUAAACAUCAGCACCACAGUAUCCCUGGCAACAAGGACGGGGAUGCAGGAUUGAACCACCAUGCAAGACAGCCCUUAUGGAUACUUGGUCGUUGGGGGAAACAGGACUGGAGACACGAACAGGACUGGUAGUGGGUUCGCUUGUGGUGGAGACAGGGAAGACGGAGACAAGGGAAGAGACGAGAGAGACAAGCCUGGAGCUGACAGAUUUGUCCAGCAGCACAACAGACAAUGCUGACUCUAGAGAAUGUCUGAUUGCAGAGGAAGAAGAGGAUGGUGACAGCAAGAAAAGGAAGGACAUCACAGUGAAAACAAACAUUUGGUAUCAGGACUCACAGUAAUGACAUCAGAGAUGAGGUCAGCGGAGAUUCCAAGAGCCAAUCAGUACACAGUGAGCCUCGUGUCUAUAGAGUUGGGCAUGGCUAGGGUGGAGCUAGCCCCAGAACCACUCAAGGCCCAAUUGCCUUUCAAAGAAUCUCUGGAGCCCCACCCCCUGGUGAUAACUAUGGCACGGAAUUCAAACCAAACACUGUGAAAAUUCAAUGUGGAUGCAGUUGCUUGCGAACGUAUUCACCCCC